Molecule: ribosomal RNA, 920 nt
Filed under: uncultured bacterium
Lineage: Bacteria
Description: bacterial SSU rRNA
Rfam family: Bacterial small subunit ribosomal RNA
Source: RNAcentral
CCUACGGGAGGCAGCAGUGGGGAAUUUUGGACAAUGGGCGCAAGCCUGAUCCAGCCAUGCCGCGUGAGUGAAGAAGGCCUUCGGGUUGUAAAGCUCUUUCGGCGGGGACGAAACCGUCCGUGCUAACACCACGGACUACUGACGGUACCCGCAGAAGAAGCACCGGCUAACUACGUGCCAGCAGCCGCGGUAAUACGUAGGGUGCAGGCGUUAAUCGGAAUUACUGGGCGUAAAGCGUGCGCAGGCGGUCUUUUAAGUCAGAUGUGAAAUCCCCGGGCUUAACCUGGGAACUGCGUUUGAAACUGGAAGGCUAGAGUGCGGCAGAGGGGGGUGGAAUUCCACGUGUAGCAGUGAAAUGCGUAGAGAUGUGGAGGAACACCGAUGGCGAAGGCAGCCCCCUGGGUCGACACUGACGCUCAUGCACGAAAGCGUGGGGAGCAAACAGGAUUAGAUACCCUGGUAGUCCACGCCCUAAACUAUGUCAACUGGUUGUCGGGGAAGCAAUUCCUUGGUAACGAAGCUAACGCGUGAAGUUGACCGCCUGGGGAGUACGGCCGCAAGGUUAAAACUCAAAGGAAUUGACGGGGACCCGCACAAGCGGUGGAUUAUGUGGAUUAAUUCGAUGCAACGCGAAAAACCUUACCUACCCUUGACAUGUCAGGAACCCUGCAGAGAUGCAGGGGUGCCCGAAAGGGAACCUGAACACAGGUGCUGCAUGGCUGUCGUCAGCUCGUGUCGUGAGAUGUUGGGUUAAGUCCCGCAACGAGCGCAACCCUUGCCAUUAGUUGCUACAUUCAGUUGAGCACUCCAAUGGGACUGCCGGUGACAACCGGAGGAGGUGGGGAUGACGUCAAGUCCUCAUGGCUCUUAUGGGUAGGGCUUCACACGUAAUACAAUGGACGGUACAGAGGGCAGCCAAC